This is a long non-coding RNA of Carassius auratus (goldfish), 845 nucleotides long. RefSeq lists it as uncharacterized. NCBI's taxonomy places the organism in Eukaryota, Metazoa, Chordata, Actinopteri, Cypriniformes, Cyprinidae. The record is from RefSeq and is a predicted model, not a curated record. The transcript is spliced from 4 exons.
GCUGGGUGGGUUUAAAAAGACUGACAAAAUGUAGCUUGGAUUGUGAAGGGGGACAAAUCUAGUAAUAUAGUCAAACAGAGUGGGAGAGUGAGAAAGGGGGGAGAGAGAGAGAGUGAGCAGUCGAAACAGUGAACGGUGGGGAAUCUUGGGCAAAGGAGGUAAGACAGGAUAUGAAAACAAUGGACUCAUUGUAGAGAGAUGAUAGAAGGAUGAGAAGGAGAUCGGUGGAACACAGCACCAUCUACAGGCUGAUAGAGCACACCAUAAGAUGAUCGCAUGAAGACGACCAGAAGUGGUUGCAACACGAGAAAGAGUGACUCACUUUGAAACCCUCUUUGACGUGUUUCCACAUAAAAGGCUUCGACAAACAAGAGAGAGGUGACCGUUUUGUAGCCCCACCACCUUUCCUGUGCCAAAAAUGCCAACUGUAACAACAAAGAGUGGCAGAUGCCAAGGGAAUCCCAGACGAAUGACCUCCGUGAAGCCGGCCUACCAAAGAGAAGCAAAUAUUUACCCUGCGUGUUUGAACCCAUGGCACAGUGCCACGGCUGCCCCUCAGAGUGCAUACCGGCCCGAUAGGCUUACUCGUCCUCUAACUUUACUCCCUGGGUACUCCCCUAUAUGACGCCAGAAAAAUCUUCUCAGUUUUCAACCAUCAUAUCAUAGAGUGGGUCAUGACAGAAAGGGUCCAGCACAUCCCAGAGCUCAGCCGCCCUGAGACCAAAGUCUCCUUACGGGACACUAACUUCAAAGUCCAUUUUGGAAGGACUGAUCUGAAGAAGACGAACCGGUCUCUGAUAACCAACAGAGCAGUCGGGAUCAGUGGAGAAGCCACCAAAUGAGAU